GGCCUACGGGGGGCAGCAGUAGGGAAUUUUCGUCAAUGGGCGCAAGCCUGAACGAGCAAUGCCGCGUGAACGAGGAAGGUCUUCGGAUCGUAAAGUUCUGUUGAAGGGGAAAAAGAGCGGAGAGAGGAAAUGGUCUCCGAUUGAUAUUACCCUUCGAGGAAGUCACGGCUAACUACGUGCCAGCAGCCGCGGUAAUACGUAGGUGGCGAGCGUUAUCCGGAUUUAUUGGGGUUAAAGGGUGCGUAGGCGGUCUGUUAAGUCAGCGGGAAAAUUGCGGGGCUCAACCCCGUCGAGCCGUUGAAACG
Molecule: ribosomal RNA, 305 nt
Filed under: uncultured bacterium
Lineage: Bacteria
Description: bacterial SSU rRNA
Rfam family: Bacterial small subunit ribosomal RNA
Source: RNAcentral